RNAcentral lists this ribosomal RNA (429 nucleotides) under Chloroflexota bacterium. Its description in RNAcentral is "Chloroflexi bacterium partial 16S ribosomal RNA". It matches the Rfam family "Bacterial small subunit ribosomal RNA", at positions 355 to 776 of the family's 1533-position model. Lineage: Bacteria; Bacillati; Chloroflexota. The record is from RNAcentral.
UGGGGAAUAUUGCACAAUGGGCGCAAGCCUGAUGCAGCCAUGCCGCGUGUAUGAAGAAGGCCUUCGGGUUGUAAAGUACUUUCAGCGGGGAGGUAGGGAGUAAAGUUAAUACCUUUGCUCAUUGACGUUACCCGCAGAAGAAGCACCGGCUAACUCCGUGCCAGCAGCCGCGGUAAUACGGAGGGUGCAAGCGUUAAUCGGAAUUACUGGGCGUAAAGCGCACGCAGGCGGUUGAUUGAGUCAGAUGUGAAAUCCCCGGGCUUAACCCGGGAAUUGCAUCUGAUACUGGUCAGCUAGAGUCUUGUAGAGGGGGGUAGAAUUCCAUGUGUAGCGGUGAAAUGCGUAGAGAUGUGGAGGAAUACCGGUGGCGAAGGCGGCCCCCUGGACAAAGACUGACGCUCAGGUGCGAAAGCGUGGGGAGCAAACAGG